This 230-nucleotide ribosomal RNA is filed under the name uncultured bacterium. Its description in RNAcentral is "partial 16S ribosomal RNA". It matches the Rfam family "Bacterial small subunit ribosomal RNA", at positions 562 to 790 of the family's 1533-position model. The record is from RNAcentral.
AAAGGGAGCGUAGGCGGCUGAUUAAGUCAGCGGUGAAAGGUAGCAGCUUAACUGUUUUACAUGCCGUUGAUACUGGUUAGCUUGAGUUGACAGAAGGCAGAUAGAAUUCCUGGUGUAGCGGUGAAAUGCUUAGAUACCAGGAGGAAUACCGAUUGCGAAGGCAGUCUGCUGCAGUCACACUGACGCUGAGGCUCGAAGGUGCGGGGAUCAAACAGGAUUAGAUCCCUUGU